This is a long non-coding RNA of Salvia miltiorrhiza (redroot sage), 566 nucleotides long. RefSeq lists it as uncharacterized. The transcript has 3 exons. Lineage: Eukaryota; Viridiplantae; Streptophyta; Magnoliopsida; Lamiales; Lamiaceae. The record is from RefSeq and is a predicted model, not a curated record.
GUUUCAUCGAAUCCCAAAAUUUUCGCUCUUUGAAUGUUUAUGGCUUUGAUUACCAGAUUUCGACAGUAUAGUAAUCUUUCAAUACUCAAUACUAUUUUCUUAUUCUUUUUCGAUUCAACGCCAUUUGAUUUACGGCGCAUAUGCGAUGGAUAUCCAGAACGAAGAAGUCGGAAGAAUUAAUCCAGAUUUGGUACAAAGGCAUUGGAUAAGGGGGGCCACAAGGUUACAGUGUUGAAAAAUUGGGUUCGACGAAUUCCGCCAUGGAUAGCAAGAAAGUUGAAGAUUGGUUGGUUGGAGCUCUGGUUUGGUUGAGUUGGUCGAAGAACUCGAAGUCCGGUGGUGAUGGCGGGGUUGGAGAUUCUCCCAAUUCCAUAUCGAAGAGGUCUGUGAAGAAGUGGUCGAGGAGGUUGAAUUGGGUCUCACAUUGUAGGUGAAAUUGUGAUUUGGCAGCCGCGAAGCAGUGAAGCUUGAGUGGGAGAGAAUGUGGGGUAGUUUGAUGGCCUGCUAAUGUUCAACACGUUCAAAACAAUGUACCCUAUGUUCAUCAAAUAUAUGAACUUUUUUUU